This 219-nucleotide ribosomal RNA is filed under the name uncultured bacterium. RNAcentral's name for it is "partial 16S ribosomal RNA". It matches the Rfam family "Bacterial small subunit ribosomal RNA", at positions 30 to 246 of the family's 1533-position model. The record is from RNAcentral.
AUUGAACGCUGGCGGCAUGCCUUACACAUGCAAGUCGAACGGCAGCACGGGGGCGAACCCUGUGGCGAGUGGCGAACGGGUGAGUAAUACAUCGGAACAUACCCUAGAGUGGGGGAGUAACGUAGCGAAAGUUAACGCUAAUACCGCAUACGCACUAUGGUGGAAAGCAGGGGAGUCGCAAGACCUUGCGCUCAUGGAGUGGCCGAUGGCAGAUUAGCA